RNAcentral lists this small RNA (76 nucleotides) under Herbaspirillum sp. Sphag64. RNAcentral's name for it is "isrK Hfq binding RNA". It matches the Rfam family "isrK Hfq binding RNA". Lineage: Bacteria; Pseudomonadati; Pseudomonadota; Betaproteobacteria; Burkholderiales; Oxalobacteraceae. The record is from Rfam by way of RNAcentral. RNAcentral also lists the same sequence under 1 other name.
GCCCCGGAAAAAGACGGGGCGCGAGUUUGACAGCUCGGUUUACCAAAGCGCACAGACCGCGCCAUGCGGUUUUUUU